CCUCUGCCCUUCCUCACACAGGCACGGGACAUUGUACUGACUUAGGGUUAGGAGUCCUCGCUGGCUUUGUCACCAGACAGCUCUGGGAUGUGCCCCAGAGCCAGUUCCUUGCCUCUCUCUGAGCCUGGGUCUUCCCUGCUGUGAACUGGGAUGACGACUCCCCAAGGUCUGCUGGGACACACUCUGUACGCGGCACCGGGGAGGCAUGCCGUGAAGGCCGGUCCCAGUCUCCGUCUCUGAAAUGAGGGUGAGGGGGCCUAAGGCGGUCACUGUGCCAGGGUGAUAAUAAAUCAGCUCUAACUUCUCGAUGACCUCAUCCCCUGGAAGCCCCAGGGGAAGGCAGAGUACCCCCAGAUUUACUCACAAGAAAUUCAGGGUUGAGAGUUCAAUACCAGUGAGAAUUCUCUGGCUUACGGUCUGGGCUGCAGAUGACAUCGGUGCGACCAGAGGAUAGCGGACUCUGCUUUCUUGCAAGAGGACUUGGGGCCUGGGUCACGUGUCUCUCGGUGAGAGGCACUGUGGCCGGCUCCCCAGGCAUCAUCUGAUGCCUCCAAGGACCUCGGGGAAUGACUGUGUGAUCUGAGUUUUAUACUGAGACAAGUUGGUAUAAAGGCAAGUCAUGUGAAACACACACAGUCACUCGGGAAUAAUUACCAUAAUGACACUGUGACCUUAACCACAUGCUGAUAACUCCCAGCCACUCAUCACCACUUGUCUCCGUGGACCCUGCAGCAACUGGCUGGGGGGGGGGGGGGGUUGCCGUCAGGGAGACAGGGAGCUGGGGCUCCAGCGGGGGGUCGCCAGCUUGAGGUGAGCAAGUGGGCACCACCCCCACCCCAUCUGAGCUGUCGGCCCUUUGCUGAGAACCGACCGAGUGAAGUCUUGGGUGUGUGGGUGGAUGUGUGAGCAGACCACACAUUUCACAGCACUCAGACCCAAGACGUGUGUGCUCUUCUGCACGUGCCUUCAA
Cervus elaphus (red deer) is the source of this 970-nucleotide long non-coding RNA. RefSeq lists it as uncharacterized. The record is from RefSeq and is a predicted model, not a curated record. NCBI's taxonomy places the organism in Eukaryota, Metazoa, Chordata, Mammalia, Artiodactyla, Cervidae. The transcript is spliced from 3 exons.